Molecule: non-coding RNA, 1000 nt
Organism: Phascolarctos cinereus (koala)
Lineage: Eukaryota; Metazoa; Chordata; Mammalia; Diprotodontia; Phascolarctidae
Source: RefSeq, a predicted model, not a curated record
AGUAUACCUCUAGCAAUUGCUAGAAGAGUACUGACAUUAGCUGAAAGAAGCAUCUGCUUGCCUUGGGUCAUGAUGAAUUUGAGAUGCCUAUGGGAAAUUUAGAUGAAGCUAUCUAGCAAGCAGUUGGCAAUGCCAUUGUGGAAAUCAGACAUGAGAUUUGGGAGACAUUUGCAUUGAGACAAUAACCAAACUCAUGGAAGCUAAUGAGAUGACCAAGGGAGAGAAUACAGAGAGAAAAGAGGGCACAAAGUAGAAUCUUGAAGGAUGCCUCCACAGUGGUAGAAGGAUGGAUGACACAGCAAAGGAGGCUGAAAAGCAAUAGUCAGAUAAAGGACAAUCAAGAGAAAAGUGUCACAGAAGCCAAGAAAGAAGAGGAUGUCUAGAAAGACAGGGUGGUUGACACUGUCAGGAGCUGCAGAAAAGUCAAUUAGAAAGAAGACUAAGAAAAGACCACUGCAUUUAGAGGCUAAUAAUACUGUACAAACUGGCACACAGGGAAGAUCUGUCACCUGGUUUUGCAUAACUUUUUUUCUUUGUUAAAACUGAAGGCCAAUCUUAAGGUUGGGAGGGGAGAACAGAUAUCUUCAGAAAUGACUAUGAUAUAAAAAACAAAAGGCAUUAAUAAAACUUUUAAAAAGAGAACAAUGGCUUGUAAGAUCAGUUUCAAUCAAGUACAGUCAUAUUAAAAGGGAUUAGGAAAUAAUUAGGAGGUGAAGAAAUGGAGGCAAUAAAUGAAGGGAACCCUUUCUAGCAGUUCGGUUGUGAAAGGAAGAAAAUAUAGAUGACUACUUGAAGAAAUGGCAAGGGCAUAUCAUGCAGGCAGAUAAUUUUCUCAAGGACAGGGCUAUGGUAUACCAGGUAAGUAGAAAACCCAUAACUCUUGGGAAGGGAAGGGCAGGAUAGUGCCAUUAUUGUCCAGAGUCCUCAAAAAUAUAUGCACACUCUAAGAAAUGAUGAGCAGGCAGAUUUCAGAAAACCUGGAAAGACUGAUGCUGAGUCA